RNAcentral lists this ribosomal RNA (440 nucleotides) under uncultured bacterium. Its description in RNAcentral is "partial 16S ribosomal RNA". It matches the Rfam family "Bacterial small subunit ribosomal RNA", at positions 338 to 795 of the family's 1533-position model. The record is from RNAcentral.
CCUACGGGCGGCAGCAGUGGGGAAUCUUGCACAAUGGGGGAAACCCUGAUGCAGCGACGCCGCGUGAGUGAAGAAGUAUCUCGGUACGUAAAGCUCUAUCAGCAGGGAAGAAAAUGACGGUACCUGACUAAGAAGCCCCGGCUAACUACGUGCCAGCAGCCGCGGUAAUACGUAGGGGGCAAGCGUUAUCCGGAUUUACUGGGUGUAAAGGGAGCGUAGACGGCAGCAAAAGUCUGGAGUGAAAGCCCGGGGCUUAACCCCGGCACUGCUUUGGAAACUGUGCGGCUGGAGUGCAGGAGGGGUAAGCGGAAUUCCUAGUGUAGCAGUGAAAUGCGUAGAUAUUAGGAGGAACACCGGUGGCGAAGGCGGGUUACUGGACUGUAACUGACGUUGAGGCUCGAAAGCGUGGGGAGCAAACGGGAUUAGAUACCCUUGUAGUC